AUUGAACGCUAGCGGCAUGCUUUACACAUGCAAGUCGAACGGCAGCGCGGGCUUCGGCCUGGCGGCGAGUGGCGAACGGGUGAGUAAUGCAUCGGAACGUGCCCAGUAGUGGGGGAUAGCCCGGCGAAAGCCGGAUUAAUACCGCAUACGACCUGAGGGUGAAAGCGGGGGACCGAAAGGCCUCGCGCUAUUGGAGCGGCCGAUGUCGGAUUAGCUAGUUGGUGGGGUAAAGGCUUACCAAGGCGACGAUCCGUAGCUGGUCUGAGAGGACGACCAGCCACACUGGGACUGAGACACGGCCCAGACUCCUACGGGAGGCAGCAGUGGGGAAUUUUGGACAAUGGGGGCAACCCUGAUCCAGCCAUGCCGCGUGCGGGAAGAAGGCCUUCGGGUUGUAAACCGCUUUUGUUCGGGAAGAAAUCCUCUGGGCUAAUACCCCGGGGGGAGGACGGUACCGGAAGAAUAAGCACCGGCUAACUACGU
RNAcentral lists this ribosomal RNA (483 nucleotides) under uncultured bacterium. Its description in RNAcentral is "partial 16S ribosomal RNA". It matches the Rfam family "Bacterial small subunit ribosomal RNA", at positions 29 to 506 of the family's 1533-position model. The record is from RNAcentral.